This 519-nucleotide ribosomal RNA is filed under the name uncultured bacterium. RNAcentral describes it as "bacterial SSU rRNA". It matches the Rfam family "Bacterial small subunit ribosomal RNA", at positions 8 to 526 of the family's 1533-position model. The record is from RNAcentral.
AGAGUUUGAUCAUGGCUCAGAUUGAACGCUGGCGGCAUGCUUUACACAUGCAAGUCGAACGGUAACAGGCCGCAAGGUGCUGACGAGUGGCGAACGGGUGAGUAAUGUAUCGGAACGUGCCCAGUCGUGGGGGAUAACGCAGCGAAAGCUGCGCUAAUACCGCAUACGAUCUAUGGAUGAAAGCGGGGGACCGUAAGGCCUCGCGCGAUUGGAGCGGCCGAUAUCAGAUUAGGUAGUUGGUGGGGUAAAGGCUCACCAAGCCAACGAUCUGUAGCUGGUCUGAGAGGACGACCAGCCACACUGGGACUGAGACACGGCCCAGACUCCUACGGGAGGCAGCAGUGGGGAAUUUUGGACAAUGGGCGCAAGCCUGAUCCAGCAAUGCCGCGUGCAGGAAGAAGGCCUUCGGGUUGUAAACUGCUUUUGUACGGAACGAAACGGUCCUGGUUAAUACCCGGGGCUAAUGACGGCACCGUAAGAAUAAGCACCGGCUAACUACGUGCCAGCCGCCGCUAAUAC